UGCCCGGAUAGCUCAGUCGGUAGAGCAGGGGAUUGAAAAUCCCCGUGUCCUUGGUUCGAUUCCGAGUCCGGUCGCCC
This 77-nucleotide transfer RNA is filed under the name Serratia marcescens. RNAcentral describes it as "tRNA-Phe(gaa)". It matches the Rfam family "tRNA". Rfam says of the family: Transfer RNA (tRNA) molecules are approximately 80 nucleotides in length. The record is from RNAcentral. Lineage: Bacteria; Pseudomonadati; Pseudomonadota; Gammaproteobacteria; Enterobacterales; Yersiniaceae.